CAGCGUACGCAGUCCAGAAGGCUGCAGUAUUUCCUCCAAGAAAAAAAAAAAAAAGCUGCUUCAACCCCUGCUGCAAGCAAAGUUGCGAUUCCCUCUGCUGGCUAUCUCGAAUAGCAAAGCGAAUUUUGCAGCAAAGCUGCCGCCGCUGGAACUCAACCUGAAGAACUCCAAUGCGGGCGGUGGGUGAUGGCUUAGCCUCCCCUCCAUCUGCCCUGUCCAGAGCUGCCUUCUUUUCUUUGCUUGCCAAGUUCCAAGAUGGGAAGAGCCUCCCAAUACGCCCCUGGCCUCAUUUCAAUUUGGGUAAUUGCAUUCUGUCGACUUGAAAUUUCCCCACCAGCUUCCUCUGCCUGGGAUGUGAUGCGUCUUCCUCAGUACUCAGCGGCCGUGGGAGACUGGGGAACAGCUGGUGCAUUUCACCCCAGAAGUGGAUGUGUUUUAGCGGCAGGUGCAAAGGUUUUCUUCUGUCGAACACAAAUUCCAACCUAGGAAGAAGCUUUGUGGAUGCUUUUUAUUUGAGCCAUGAAUAAAAGUAAGAUCUUCAUUUUCAAGGAUGAGCUGUAAACAUUGAAAGCUGAACAGCACCUAUUUUUAUUAUAAAUGAGAAAGUAAAAGAGUGGGCACUUAGCUUAGCUGACAAGAUACCCACAUACAAGUGUCUGGACUUGAUUUCUAGCUUUGAUCCUGAUUUUACCUUCCUGUAAAGAUAGACUCCCAGGAACAGUGGUGAUGGUUUAAGUUAUUGUUUCUGCUACCCAGAUGAGAGACCUGGAUUGUGUUCCUGGUUCCUAGGUCUCAUACUGGCCCUGGCCAGUCCCUGCUAUUGCAGGUGUUUGGGGAGUGAACUGGUGGAUGAGAGGUCUCUCUGUUUCUCUAAAUGUCAUCUCUUUAUCCCUACUUAUCUCUGCCUCUUAACAAAUAAAAAUCAAAUAGUCUUAACUUACAGUAAUGAGUAAAGCAUACAACAUACAUAUGUAAUA
Molecule: long non-coding RNA, 977 nt
Organism: Lepus europaeus (European hare)
Lineage: Eukaryota; Metazoa; Chordata; Mammalia; Lagomorpha; Leporidae
Exons: 3
Source: RefSeq, a predicted model, not a curated record